This 225-nucleotide ribosomal RNA is filed under the name uncultured Desulfuromonas sp. Its description in RNAcentral is "partial 16S ribosomal RNA". It matches the Rfam family "Bacterial small subunit ribosomal RNA", at positions 1157 to 1382 of the family's 1533-position model. Lineage: Bacteria; Pseudomonadati; Thermodesulfobacteriota; Desulfuromonadia; Desulfuromonadales; Desulfuromonadaceae. The record is from RNAcentral.
GUUAAACCGGAGGAAGCGGGGAUGACGUCAAGUCCUCAUGGCCCUUAUGUCCAGGGCUACACACGUGCUACAAUGGCCGGUACAAAGGGUAGCAAGACCGCGAGGUGGAGCCAACCCCAAAAAGCCGGUCUCAGUUCGGAUUGGAGUCUGCAACUCGACUCCAUGAAGUUGGAAUCGCUAGUAAUCGUGGAUCAGCAUGCCACGGUGAAUACGUUCCCGGGCCUU